RNAcentral lists this ribosomal RNA (524 nucleotides) under Chlamydomonas sp. ChB12. Its description in RNAcentral is "SSU rRNA". It matches the Rfam family "Eukaryotic small subunit ribosomal RNA", at positions 605 to 1131 of the family's 1831-position model. Lineage: Eukaryota; Viridiplantae; Chlorophyta; Chlorophyceae; Chlamydomonadales; Chlamydomonadaceae. The record is from RNAcentral.
GAUAGUGGAUGCAGCUAAAGCUCGUAGUUGGAUUUCUGGUUCGGCGCAUUUGGCCCUGUCCCGGUUUCCGGGCGGAGUGCUGGUGUGCGCCAUCCAUCCUUCGAGAACGCAUAUCUUCCUCACGGUUGGUAUGUUAUCUCGAUCUUUUACUUUGAAAAAAUUAGAGUGUUUAAAGCAGGCUUGCGCUAUGAAUACAUUAGCAUGGAAUAAUAAUUUAGGACUUUGGUCUUAUUUUGUUGGUUUCUAGGACUAAAGUAAUGAUUGAUAGGGACAGUUGGGGGUGCUAGUAUUCAGCGGCCAGAGGUGAAAUUCUUGGAUUCGCUGAAGACUAACUUAUGCGAAAGCAUUCACCAAGGAUGUCUUCUUUAAUCAAGAACGAAAGUUGGGGGAUCGAAGACGAUCAGAUACCGUCGUAGUCUCAACCAUAAACUAUGCCGACUAGGGAUGGGUGAACGUUGCUUAUUCGACUUCAUCCGCACCUUAUGAGAAAUCAAAGUCUUUGGGUUCCGGGGGGAGUAUGGUCA